This 93-nucleotide small nucleolar RNA is filed under the name Lachancea fermentati. Its description in RNAcentral is "Small nucleolar RNA snR65". It matches the Rfam family "Small nucleolar RNA snR65". The record is from Rfam by way of RNAcentral. Lineage: Eukaryota; Fungi; Ascomycota; Saccharomycetes; Saccharomycetales; Saccharomycetaceae.
CACAAUGAUGAGCUUUCAAACACACGUUAAUGCUAGAUAGUAUCUGAAUUUUUAAUGAUUAAAGUGUAUUGGACAAUUUAAGUAUAGCUGAUG